Molecule: ribosomal RNA, 496 nt
Filed under: uncultured bacterium
Lineage: Bacteria
Description: partial 16S ribosomal RNA
Rfam family: Bacterial small subunit ribosomal RNA
Source: RNAcentral
AUGCACGCUGGCGGCGUGCCUAAUACAUGCAAGUCGAGCGAACGGACGAGAAGCUUGCUUCUCUGAUGUUAGCGGCGGACGGGUGAGUAACACGUGGAUAACCUACCUAUAAGACUGGGAUAACUUCGGGAAACCGGAGCUAAUACCGGAUAAUAUUUUGAACCGCAUGGUUCAAAAGUGAAAGACGGUCUUGCUGUCACUUAUAGAUGGAUCCGCGCUGCAUUAGCUAGUUGGUAAGGUAACGGCUUACUAAGGCAACGAUGCAUAGCCGACCUGAGAGGGUGAUCGGCCACACUGGAACUGAGACACGGUCCAGACUCCUACGGGAGGCAGCAGUAGGGAAUCUUCCGCAAUGGGCGAAAGCCUGACGGAGCAACGCCGCGUGAGUGAUGAAGGUCUUCGGAUCGUAAAACUCUGUUAUUAGGGAAGAACAUAUGUGUAAGUAACUGUGCACAUCUUGACGGUACCUAAUCAGAAAGCCACGGCUAACUACGUG